Molecule: long non-coding RNA, 6474 nt
Organism: Lycium barbarum (goji berry)
Lineage: Eukaryota; Viridiplantae; Streptophyta; Magnoliopsida; Solanales; Solanaceae
Exons: 2
Source: RefSeq, a predicted model, not a curated record
AAUCUAGCCCAAAAAAUAAAUUUAACAACCCGGCCCAAUAUCUAAACUAAAAACCCCCUAACCUCUUUCAGUUCAACCAAAACCAAAUGACCCCUACCCUUUCUCUCCAAACUAAACCGCCCUAACCAAACGUCACUGCACCGCCCCAACGCCAAGCGGACUGCCGGACAAACGCGGGAGCCGCCUCCACUGCCACCACGUGCCCUUUUCCCUUUGAUUGACGUUGUGGUAGAAUUGAAAAGUGUAACAAGAUUAAGGUCUUAUUACCAGAAGAAUGAAGAACAAGAAGGGAAAGAGAGAGAGAGAAAAGAAAAAAAGGGAGAGAAAGGAAUAUUUUUUAUAAAUUCGAUGAGGUAUGCCAUUCAGUACAAACGGAUAUAUAGCCACCUAUAAUCCAGCUGCAUCCUCUAACUACUUGACACCUGUCCUGACUACUAACAAAAUUUUCAAGACUAAACUUUCUUACAAUAAAUUACUUUAAGGGACCUAAUUGACGAAAUAGAAACUUAGACUUAAAAUAUAAAAGGGGCUAAAACAAAUGCCCAGAAAAUGAUAAUUACUGUUAACUACUUGCUGAAUCCAUAACAAAAAGAGCCAGCAAAGAGGUCAUUUCAACCUUUGUAGAAGAGGAGUGCAAUGAACCGCCGGUUUCAAGCUUGACUCUCCUUCGAUUCAGUGGGUAAUGGAGGAAUCGACAAUAUUAGACCCCAACAGCUCUUCUCCUCUCAAAUCAAAACUGAAAAGGUGAGAUUUUUCACCCUUUUCUUGAUAUUACCCAUCAAAAUCUUUUCCCAGAACUUCCCAUUAAAAAAGCAUCACCUUUUCCUCCUCUUUUGUUUGAAUUUCGAAUUUUAGCUUCCUAUAGAAGCUGUUGAAGUCCAGGAUUUCGACUAUAAAUAGGGCCCUUUGGGCUGUGUUGAAGAUAGGCUGAGAAUUUGAGAGAAAACUUUUAUUUACUCUAAAGUUAGAAUUGGAGAAUCCAUUUCUUUUUCAUAAGUCUUCAUAACUAAAAAUCCAUAGUUCUUUCUAAGUUCUCAGAAAAUCCUGUUUUAACUAUAAGUUCUUUUGGCUGUAUAAUUUUGGUUAUUCUCGGCUAAUCAAGGAUUGCUUUAAGCGGAUUCAGAGACUCGAAGACGACACUAGCCUCAGUUCACUGUCCCGGAGAAGAAAUGAAGCAUGGACAUAUGUAGGGAUCUAGUAGCUGUUUGUUUCUCUGGCGUGCUUGGAAGUUGUUGAUAGCAUAAACUUGUAAAGCACGUUGAGUCGCUAAACUUCUUCAUUCUUGUGAAAAGCAUCUGGACUGUUUUAUCUAUUAUUUAUGUUAAGAAGCUCUUUCAAAAUGUUCUGUCAAGUUGUUCGAGAAAAUUGGUUACGAGACCUGCAUUUUAACCACCGAAAGUUGCAUACUUUUAGAACACCCGUUUAUGGUGUUAGUUUGGUUGUGUUCUAUUUUCAUGUCCUAAUUAACAUAUAAAAGAUGUUGGGUGUCUUCCUGGCUGAAUUGGUUGAGGGUUAAACUCAUAGAAGGCCGUCAUUAAUGUGUCCCUUUAAUGUCCUUGUUUUAAAUUAGUUUGUUGUCACUUGUUGAUAUAAAGGAUUCUAUUGUACAUAAGCUUAAUUACCCAUUCUUACUUUGUGUUUCACGAGUAACCAACGAAAGAUUAAGUCUUUUGAAAAUAAUGUUCUCUUGUUUGCUUGAUUGUGAACCUAUAUGAACAUUUUUCUUAUUCAGUUUGAUUGUUGUUUCCCAUAUGUUCCUAAUCCUUUUCUUUUCUUUCUUUCUACAUGAGUAUAGCACGUGGUUUGUUAAGUCUUCCGGAUUAUUGCUCCGUUUCUCUUUUGCCUACGAGUUUCAUCUAUGUAGGGAAUCAUUUUGGGAUUAAUCCUUUGCCUCUGGGGUCCAUCUUUAUUGAUAAGCAUUCCAGAAUUAAUCCUUUGAUCCUUUUUUUUUUUUUUUUUUUUUUUUUAUCGGCUUCGUCCUCGCUAGGUAACUUCCCUGGAUUAGCCUUUUUUGCUCCUAUAAUAUAUAAAAACUUUAUUAUAGAAUAAUUCACCCAUACCUUAGACUUACCUCCAUACGACUUUGGCCCGAAAAACCCCUAUGUUUUUUAUCAGACCUUGAGACCUUCAUUUUUUUUGCAACCUUAAAGGUUCCGUUACCAGCCAUUCCACUCAAUGAAGCUUGACGUAAGAACAUGCAACACUCCCUUCGGGUCCGAAAAUUCCAACCGUUUGAGUGAAGCCGAUAUAACGACGUUUGUAUCUUGAAUCCAUGGCUUCCCUAUUAAAGCCUUGAAACCCUCAUCAUCAUCAAUUACUCAAAACUCCACAUUUUCUUCUCCACCUCCAGUCGCUACCACUAGUUCCACAAUUCCGGACUGAAAAAGGCUAACAACUCCUUUUUCGUACAACUCCAUUUCCCCCAUUUCAAUUAGCUGCUCCAUAACAUCCCACUGAAUAAGAUUCUUUAUGCUCCUCAGAGUUACAGCCCUUCUAGAGACCACAAUACCAUUGGCUAAAGCCGAAAUCACCAAAUCAUUUGGACGAGGCAAAAUGUUCUGUAUGUUUUUAUCCCUUGUUGACAACACAACUUUCCCUUUCAACUUAGCAGUUUCUUGCUUAAGUACCUCCAUCCUCACUAUUGAAAGCACCCUUUCUGGUAAAGGUCCCUCUUCAUAUGAUCCUGACCAAACAAAAUAAUAAAUAUUCUUUAACAAAAAUCUAUAAACUCCAAGCCUGAGUUCCGGGGUUAAUCCGGUGCCCAAGUAUACCUUUCUUUUCAAUUUCCGAUCCGAAGGGGCAAUUUCUCUUUUCGGUAUUGCUUCAGAUUGUCCGAGCUCAUUAAUUAUCAUGUUAAUAACAUGCCGAGACUCAACCUGCGGUUCUCGCUUAACUGAGUUGAUGUGCUUUUCGUAGUUAUCAUUAGCCCUAUCACUUAAGAAUUCCCUUAAAUAGCCGAGCAAUCGCGUCCUUGAGGUGCCGGCAAUCGAUUGUCCGAUGAUUAUGAGUUCCAUGAUAAUCACAAAAUAAAUUCAUAUCCCUCUGACUUAGAUCCGUUCUCAUUGGUCUGGGUCGCUUUUUACCAUCGAUUUUUAUCUAUCUCCGCAAUCAACGCUACCAGAUCAAUGUUAAAAUUAUACUCCGAUAGCCUUGGGUUCUCAAUUUUAUUUGUGAUUGAGUCAACCGUUGCUACCUUAGGCUGCAAUCCGCGCUUACUUUGACUAGAUGGUCUUUCAUAAUGACUGCCUCAGCUUCGUUCUAGUUCUCGUUCGAGACCUUUCUUGUUGAUCAUAUGACUGAUAUUUAUUUUUUCCAACUCUGGAAUCAGAAUCAAUAUUUCUUCUUGGUCUGUCAUAGUUUCAACUUCAACUGGUUGAACCAGCUGACAGACUAAAUUGAUCAUCCUCCACCCGAAUUUUUGACUCAUACCUAUUAUGAACGUCCACCCAUGUUGUGGCAGGAAAUUCUAAUAGGUUUUCUUUCAACUUCAACGAAGCACUCAAACUUCUGCCUUUAGCAAAGAACUAUGCCUCUCAUUCAUUCGGAACAGUUGGAAGUAGCAUUCGCUCAUUGUGAAACCGAAUAACGAAUUCCCUGAGCCAUUCGUCAUCUCCCUGGGUGAUUUUUAAUAUAUCCUCCUUCCUUGCUGACACCUUUUUCGCCUCAGCAUGUGCCUUGAUGAAGGCAUCCAGGAGCAUUUCGAAAGAAUGAAUGGAAUGCUCCGGAAGCAAUGAAUACCAGGUCAUUGCUCCUUUGUAUGGAGUCUCACCAAAUUUCUUGAGCAACACAGACUCAAUUUCAUCCGGCUGCAUAUCGUUUUCUUUAACAACAAACAUGUAUGAAGUCACAUGCUCCUGAGGAUUUGUAGUCCCAUCAUAUUUGGGUAGUUCUGGCUUCUUAAAUCUUUUUGGAAUGAGUUUAGUAGCCGCACUUGGUGGGUAUGGCAGCUGCAUGUAUAUUUUUGAAUCUGGCCCCUUUAACACUGGCGGGGCUCCUGGAAUCUGAUCUAUUAAAGAAUUAAACGCCUUAAAUUCCUUUUCACUUUUAUCCAACCUACUAUUCAAUUCUUUCUCAUUUUUCUCUAACCGGUUAGAAAGAGCUUCCAGGUACUACAUUACUUCGGGUGCUCCCCCGUUGCCACGAGCUACACUAUUGCCUUCUUCUCGCCGCACAUCCAUAUUAGGUUGAUCUCCUCCAACAUUGUUUCUUCCUGUCUGCAAAUCCGUAAUGGCUUUCUGCUGCUUUUCCAACAACUCCAAUAUUUUAGACAUUGCCGAAUCUACUUUCGCAACCACCUCUUCUUCAUGAUCAUCAUUUGGAAAGAAAUCAUCACCAAUGUGCUUGGAUCCAUGAGGUAAUUCUUGCAUCUGUUUGUUCCUGGUCAGAUCGUCUUCCGCGGUUUAAGCCUUUCCCUGAGUGUUUGCAUUCUUCAACACUCCAUCUACUUGGUUUCCCGUAUUCGUCAUCUUUCAAGACUUGUCUGGUGACAACAAAAUAAGAAUUGUAAGUUUAAAGGUUAGAGCAACAAAAUAAUACCACUAUUAUCGUUAGCCUCACGGUGGGCGCCAAACUGUUUAACCUAAAAACCGAGGGAACAAAAGGAUACGUGAUUUGCUUCGUUAUGAAUAAAGAUAUAAAUCAUUGACAAAAAUGAAUGUGAUAAUAAAUAAAUAGAAUGAUUGCGAUAAAUAAAAAUGAAAUAAUUAAGCUUGGGCUUGAUUAAUCCUCGGAGCAAAUCCUUUGAUGAGCUUUAUCCGGUGGGACAAUACUCAGGCUACAACAAUAUUCCGGAGGGAGGAAGCAGCUUAAGAAAGUAAAUUUAAAUAGCAAAAGCUUGUUAGAAUAAAGAGUAAUCUGUUGUAUUCUAUAUCCUUUCCUAAGGACUCUUUAGCCUCUUUUUAUAGUACAAGCUAACCCCCUUCUUAUGCUAUGAUUACAUUCUAAUAAAUAUCAAUAAUGGACAAUAAAUAUUAUUUAAUGCUGAAUCGUAAUGUUUGCCUCGUAUACGGCUGGUCACAUAACGUUGUUCUUCCAUUAAUGACCCGGUGUCACUGCUUUUGGCAGAUUAGCUCCGGAUACCACCGGAGUUCUUUAUCUGAAUUAAAUGAGAUAACUCGUAUCGUUAUAUCUUCUCCCGCCAUGUGCUUCAAUACUAAUUUACCACGUGUCAAGCUAUAUUUUGGUGUGCAUACAAGUUGCCCUAAAAUAUAUUCAACUUGAUAAUUUUUUUUUUAUAUGAAUUAAAGGUACCCAUAGAUAGACAUUUCAAUUCUUUUGUUCUGGUUUUGAUGUUUUAUUUUGCGUGAUAACUCGCAUGGAAAGCCAAUAAAUUGCCAAAAUAAACUUUUCUUACAAAUUGUAUGGCUGUUGAAUAAAUAAGUUCAUGUCUGGAAUGUUAAAUUUCAAUUCCAAGAGGAAUAUUCAUCAAAAAAAUUAAAGUAUUUAAAAAAUAAAAAAAGUAUGUAACAUAUAAUCACCUAAUAACUUUUGUGACGAGUGGAUGUGGCAUGCACUGAAAGUGUGAGAGGGAUGGGUACAGGGGAUUAAGGAGGUAAACACUAACAAAAGGUGGUGACGUAGUGUUAUAUAUUAUUACUUUACUACUAUUAAGAAGCACGGGUUUUACUACUAUUUCGUCGUCCGUUGUGGGCCCCCAUGAAAAAAAAAAAUUAUUUUGGGCCUCAUAUUAAACAGCCCAUAAUAAAAAAAAAAUACACAAAAUUGUAAAAUAAAAUAAAAUAUGGGCCCCAUAUAUAUUAAACAACAAUUAAUAUUUUAAAAAAAAAUGGGCCCCAUAUUAAACACCAAUCAAUAUUAAAAAAAAAAAAACUGAAACCCACCACAUUCAAACUCACGGGGAAAAAAAAGUGGACCCCAUAUUAACAAAAUUAAGCAAUAUUAAAAAAAAAGUGAAUCUCAUAUUAAAAAAACAAACAAUGUUAAAAAAAAAUAUGGGCCCCAUAUUAAACACCAUGAGUAUUCGUAGCAAACACUAAUAUAAUAAAAUUUUAAAUACGGAGCACAAACUACAAUGUUAUAUUAAUCGUGUUUUGAACAUAGUUUCCCAUAUUGACAAAAUCAAGCAAUAUAUAUAUAUAAAAAAAAAGUGAAUCUCAUAUUAAAAAAAUAAACAGUGUAAAAAAAAAGUGCAGACUUUGUAUUCUUAGCAAACACUAAUAUAAUAAAGUUUUAGAUACGGAGCACAAAACCCGUGCUUCUUAAUAGUAGUAAUAUAUAUAUAUAUAUAUAUAUAUAUAUAUUAUAUGCAUAAAAAUAGUGCAAACUAAUAAUGUCCAAAAAGGCGGGCCCCAUACUAAACAACACCAGGGAAUAUAAAAAAUAAAAAUAAAAAUAAGAAGAAACUAUAUGAAACAUGGGUCUAAACCCAUGCUUCAUCGUCUGUUGUCCCUUAAAAAAAAAGAGUGGGCCUCAUACUAAAUAACACCGAGCAAUAAAAAAAAGGAAGAAAAAAAA